Chenopodium quinoa (quinoa) is the source of this 583-nucleotide long non-coding RNA. RefSeq lists it as uncharacterized. NCBI's taxonomy places the organism in Eukaryota, Viridiplantae, Streptophyta, Magnoliopsida, Caryophyllales, Amaranthaceae. The record is from RefSeq and is a predicted model, not a curated record. The transcript has 3 exons.
GCGGGAGGGAAAAAAGGAGAAACGUCGAAGAGAAAAAAGGGAAAGGAGAAAAGGCAAGUUUUGAUAUAUGAUGUGGACGAGAAAAUGGAGGACGCGGAAGAUUUGGGUGACAAUGAAGAUCCUCAAACACAGAUGCAAAUACAACAUCAUGGGCAACAAGCCUCAUAGUCUUCUCAGUUGGUGGUAUUAGACCUUGCCACGACCUGGUUUGAUGAUAAACCUGUGGUAAAGGCCGUCUCCGGUACCUUAACAGGCUACUGUCGAAAGCCUUGGAGGAAUUACGAAGAGAAACAAUGCACAUGGGCACCUAAGUUAAACGACCUUGUCAAGAGAACCUUCGAAUUCAAGUUCGCAUGUCGGCCGAAGGACAUGUUUCACACAAUCACAUAUAGGAUGAACGGUUAGAAGCCGGACUGGCUGAUCGAGGAUGUCCACAAGCAGAUGAUGCACAUUGUUGCCACUAAUGAUACGUACAAGAAGCGUUCCGAACAAAAUAAGAAGAAUAGAAGAGGCGGAUCGAUGGAUAAUGUGGUUGAACUAACCCACUACUAGGGUUCAAUUUCAUCUGUACAUCAUGCAAAAA